This is a long non-coding RNA of Amphiprion ocellaris (clown anemonefish), 4913 nucleotides long. RefSeq lists it as uncharacterized. NCBI's taxonomy places the organism in Eukaryota, Metazoa, Chordata, Actinopteri, Pomacentridae. The transcript has 5 exons. The record is from RefSeq and is a predicted model, not a curated record.
GGUCCCUUCUGAUGUCAGCCAGAGAAACGAGGGAAGUAGCAUGCUAAGAGGAAGAGAAAACCAGGAUAAAACCUCGGAGUUUACCUGUGAAAAGGAAAAAAAACAGUUGGAGCACUUACCCAGUGGAGGUCCGGAGCCAAGUGACUGAACGAAGGAGAGAGUUACGCAGGCUAACCACUUGCCUUUCACCCAGAGAGCCGCAGCAAGGUCCGACAUCAGCGUGCUCCGCCUUGAUACACAGAGAGUAACGGUGGAAGCUGAAUUAGUGAGGAUGACUCCUGCUCCUGUCAUCUCUAAGCUCCUCACACAUCUUUACCUGCACAUGAGGAAAAUCACUCCUGUAGAAUGCAGAUGUUCAGAGGGAGAUGAUGCCACAUCUGGUCCAGCUGAUGGAAGGUCUUGAAGUUCUCUGACUGGCCUCGACUGAAGAUGGUCGUCUCACUGGAUUUAAGGUUCAGAUCGUCAGUAACAAACUCCAUCAAUGUGCCAACAGGGAAGCUUUAGGUUUAUUAAAUGUUGCUAUGAAGGUAUCGCUGUUUUUCUUUGUGAAUGCAAUGUGCUCCAACUGAAACUUGAAUUAGAACUUAGAAGUAAAUCCUUCCAUCUGAAAGGAUCUAGUUGCAUUAAUAACCUCAUAACAUUCAAAUUUUUAUUCCAGUCUUGGUUGGAAAUAGAAUCUCUGUAUUGAUUCGGGUAAAAACUGAACUUCACAGCAUGUUGGAGCAAAACAACCAGAUGAAAACUGUGAUGGUGUUGGAUUGUCAGACCGUAAUGUUGCAGCUCAAAGCAGCUUUUCUAUCUCAGUUCAUUCUGACAUUCAGCUAUGAAUCAACACAGCAGAUGGUGAUCCAUGCUGUGGAAGUCUCACAUCUCCUGAUUUAAUGGAGCUGCUUUGCACUUUUUACACUGUUUAUUCACCAACACUUUAUUUAAUAAAAGUCCCAUCCAGUUUUUAUGAGGAAUGUGAUGUUUUAAUUUCUCUGUGAAUAACUGCAGUCUAAUGUAACAGCUGGAGUUGUAACAUCUGUCCUGAUAUUGAUCAUGAAGUAUUGAUCAGAAUACUGAUGAUCAGCAGUCAUCCCUGAAGUUUUACAUUAAAAUCUUUACUUGUGUUGUGAACUUUGGUAAGAAGCAGAAACAUUAGCGUUGCCAUGGAUACAUGAGUGUUAAAUUCUGUCCAUGUUUCCAUUUUGGGAAAUUCAGUCCAGUUCCAGAAUGUGGAGGAAUUUAGUCUCACAAUCACAGACAACAAAUAUUAUCUGAAAGUCGGGUUAUUGUUGUUUAUCAGCACAAUACAAAAAGAUUAAUGUUAGAAAUAUUCCAGUUAAGACUCUAGAAUAUCAUGAUUUAUGUAAAUUUACCUCAAUAAUAUGAAUGUUCAGGUUAAGAUUAUACAGUGAUAUUUAUUAUGUAAGUUUAGCUGAUUAAAGUUUAUGACUGCACUAAAAUAUUAUUUAAAUUGACAUUAUUAUAACAUUUAGGGUCAGACCCUACAGUACUGAGAUUAAGAAAUCAAAUAUUCUAUAAAAUAUAAAUACAAUGAACUCAUUUGGAUAUAUUUAAGUGAGACUGCAAUAUUAUUUGACACAAAUCUAUCUAAAUCAAAAUUUUAAUAAUUUUCACGCCAAACAUUUACUGGACUGAUUUAAAUAUUAAAAUCACUCCCUUCUAAUCCUCUGCUGUUCGUUCAAACCUGAGGCCUUAAAUAGAAACACACAAGUAUCUGAUUGAAGGAACUUCUGCAGAGUCCUGGUUCCAGAACAUGAUGAUAGAAUUAUAGACAAACUUUAACAAAAGCUGCCUGAGAGUUUACAGGUUUUUAUGUUGGAUUUCUUCACUAAUUUAAUGAACGUUAUCAGCAAUAAUCAAGUGUUCAUUUGAUGAACUUAUUUCCUAAAACAUCCAGAAUUGGAGCUCAUAUCUUUGGCAGCUGUAAAGUUUCUGCUCCUUCAAAGUUCACAACACAAUGAAUUAAUUCCUAAAACACUCUCAAUGCUGGAGAGCGUUUGUGAUGCUGAAGCAGUGAUCAGUUUUUCUGUUUCUUCUCUGGAGAUGCACAAUGAGGGACGUCUGCAGAGACUGAGAAAGAGUCUCACCACAUCCUGACAUGAGGAAAAAGACUUUAUUGAAGACUACAAUGAGAAAAACUAUCAGACAGCAGACGGCUGCAUUCAAGGCUACAGGAGGAGCCCUACGAGGACGAGCCGGUGCACCUGAUGGCGGCCAGUCGCUGUGGUUCAAAGCCAAUACCGACUACGUGGACUUCUACUGGACCACACGGAAGCCUUCAAACCAGACCAACAAGUUCAGCGACUCCCCGACUCGUGGGUCUGAGGACGCCGCCGAGCCUCGGCUCAGCCGGCCUCCUGUCUGUGGGUGUUUGAGUGCUGAGAGGUUUGUGGAUGCAUGUGAAUGUGUCUGUGUUGAAACAGCAGCUUUUGACUCAGUAACGCCGGGAAAAACCAAGAGCUCCUUUAUCUGUGACUUCCACUAAAAAACUGAAGAAAAUAAGUUUGCCAGAGUUCUGACUGACAACAGAUUAUUAAAUAAUGAAAAUAAUCGUUUAAAUAUUCCUUUAAACAAUCCUUUUAGGUCUACAUUUCCUUUACACUGACUUCUUGGUAUAUGUACAAGUAUUUUGGGUGGAAUAUACCAUCAGACCAACCUCCAAGGUUUACAGUAGUGAAUUUUAGGUGGAAUAUACCAUUAAACUCACCUUUUAGGUGUACAAUUUUAGGUGGAAUUUUCUUCCAAACUGUCUUUUACUCUACAUUUAAGGAUGUUUAGGAUGGUAUAUUCUUCCGACCCAACUUCUCAGGUCGACAUUUCAGGUGGAAUAUUCCUCCAUACUAACUUUUUUGGUCUACAUUGAAGGAUUUUUUCUAAACCACCCUUUCAGGUCUAUAUUUGGGGUUUUAGGUGAAAUAUUCCUUUUAACCAGCCCCUCGGGUCUCUUUGAGGAUUUUGGAUGGAAUACUCGGUUAAACCAACAUUUUAGGUGCAUGUCCAAGGAUUUUUGGUGGAAUGUUCCUUUAAGGUCGAUGUUUGAGGACCUUGUAGGUGGAAUACUUCCUGAAACCAACCUUUUAGGUCAACAUUCAAAGAUUUAAGGUGGAAUAUUCCUUUAAACCAACCUAAAUUUCAUGUUUUGAUCAUUAUCAAGUGAGAAACCUCAAUCCAGACUCCUCAUAAUGACGUUUGAGAUUAAUGCUGUUGUUAUUUGUUUAGUCCAGACAAAAUGACAGAAAUCCACAACUGUAAUUUUAUUUCAGGACUCGGUUAUUAAAUGUCAAAACAAUCCAUGUGACUCUAAAAACUCAACAGCUGUACAAACUCUAAGAUUAAACUCUCCACAAGGAUCCAAAAUAAAUUGGACUUCUACAUGAGAGCUUUAAUUAUUCUUCAUCUGCUUCCUGGAAAGUUUGGUCAAUAAAAAAGACAAAAACUAAUAUUUUCAGCUGAACUAAAGACAGACUUUGUGAUUUUUCUGCUCACAUGUGUUGUUGUAAACUUACUCUUUCAAAUAAAUAGCCGCCUAACCCCCUGGAAACCAGCGUUUGUCCUGUUUUUGUGUUGCUCCUCAGCGACCCUAGACAGCCGGGUCCUAAUGUUUUUUGAGCAACACACCAUACUAUGACGUUUUUACAAUGAUGGUUCUACUAUGAAACCAGUUUGACAUGUUCAGGUGUUCUUUGUGUGAAAACUCAGAGAUUUCAGGUAUCAGAAGGUGGUUUUCAACUUUCUUUGUUAACUUUCUGCUUCAACUUUAAAUUAAAUUUCCUUCACUAAGCCAGCCCUCUGGACUUCCAGGAAGCUGUGUUCCUAUUGGCUGUCCAGGUGGCUGCUUGGUGUUAUCAGGAACACCUGAGCAGCUCAGUGUCUUCCUGCUUUAUUUAGCUGCAGACAAACAUUUCCUCUGUUUCUCUUCACCAGUGAACCGGGUUUGGCUCCAUUGCUUUAGUCUGUUCUUUAGGCGUUGGCUUGCAGCUUCCAGCAGUAAAAUGGUCUUUAAUGUGUUUCUUGGUGUGUUUUAGGGCUUUGUACUGGAUAGUUGUCUUGGUAAAUGUGGUUCUUUAGCCACAGUUAGCACAUGGUGUUAAUGUGUGCAGUGAUUAGUGGAUUUGGUGCAGCUGAGUUGUGUCUUUAUCUUGGCUGUAGUGAGUCUUUAGAGGUUUCUGGUCAGACACAUUCUGUAUUCUUGUUUGUGAAGCAACGUUGGUUGUCCAGAAGGUAAGAGUUCCUGUCCUGAUUCUCUGUUAUCAGAGGUUCUCUGGUAGGCUGCAGGAGACUUUAGCGUUUGGGUUGUGCUAGGUUGGUUUUUGUACGGUUUCAUUUGGACGACUAUCUUGAGGCCCCUCCAUGUGGUUUAGUGAGGUUUUCUAGAACAGUUCUACAAAACAACCUGCAGCAGAAGAGACUUUGAGAGUUUUUAGGAAGUUCUGGAGACCAGACUUUAGAGCAGCAGAAACAUUUGUCAGCAGUUUGAGCAGGAGAAGGUGAGCUUCAGAGUAGAAAUGAGACAGAAACCUUCUUGACGUGUGGUGAGGUCCUGUACCAAGAGUUUGAGCAGGUUGUGAAGAGUCUGUAGUUCUUUGGUCUGAAAGCACAAGAAUCGACUCAUUAAAGGAGAAAACAGGAGAUAUUGUUGGUUCUUCUGUCACUCUGCAGUUUCCUUAGACUGAAUAUCAAGUUUAUAUUUUAAAUGAUUUGCCAUGUGAGCCCAAGAAGACUUCAAUAAACUCUCUCCAUCCCCUGGAAAAGUUUUAUUACGAUGUUAAAUCUUUUUUUUUUUUAAUGUUUUUGAAUUUUAAUCAUAGUUUUAGCAUAGUUUUUUCUCUUUGCUUGUUUAGUUUUGUCAUCUGUGUGAAAGGUGCUAAAUAAAGCUGAAUUGAUAAGCUGAAUAAUUGACUAAC